Molecule: ribosomal RNA, 425 nt
Filed under: uncultured bacterium
Lineage: Bacteria
Description: partial 16S ribosomal RNA
Rfam family: Bacterial small subunit ribosomal RNA
Source: RNAcentral
GUGGGGAAUAUUGGACAAUGGGCGCAAGCCUGAUCCAGCAAUGCCGCGUGGGUGAAGAAGGUCUUCGGAUCGUAAAGCCCUUUCGACAGGGACGAUGAUGACGGUACCUGUAGAAGAAGCCCCGGCUAACUUCGUGCCAGCAGCCGCGGUAAUACGAAGGGGGCUAGCGUUACUCGGAAUUACUGGGCGUAAAGGGCGCGUAGGCGGCUCUGUUAGUCAGGCGUGAAAUUCCUGGGCUUAACCUGGGGACUGCGCUUGAUACUGCAGGGCUUGAGGCCGAGAGAGGGUGGUGGAAUUCCCAGUGUAGAGGUGAAAUUCGUAGAUAUUGGGAAGAACACCGGUGGCGAAGGCGACCACCUGGCUCGGUUCUGACGCUGAGGCACGAAAGCGUGGGGAUCAAACAGGAUUAGAAACCCGGGUAGUCC